This 277-nucleotide ribosomal RNA is filed under the name uncultured bacterium. Its description in RNAcentral is "partial 16S ribosomal RNA". It matches the Rfam family "Bacterial small subunit ribosomal RNA", at positions 30 to 307 of the family's 1533-position model. The record is from RNAcentral.
AUUGAACGCUAGCGGGAUGCCUUACACAUGCAAGUCGAACGGCAGCACGGACUUCGGUCUGGUGGCGAGUGGCGAACGGGUGAGUAGCGUAUCGGAACGUGCCCAGUAGCGGGGGAUAACUACGCGAAAGCGUAGCUAAUACCGCAUACGCCCUAAGGGGGAAAGCGGGGGAUCGCAAGACCUCGCACUAUUGGAGCGGCCGAUAUCGGAUUAGCUAGUUGGUGGGGUAAAGGCCUACCAAGGCGACGAUCCGUAGCUGGUUUGAGAGGACGGCCAG